Molecule: ribosomal RNA, 505 nt
Filed under: Papilio anactus (dingy swallowtail)
Lineage: Eukaryota; Metazoa; Arthropoda; Insecta; Lepidoptera; Papilionidae
Description: partial LSU rRNA
Rfam family: Bacterial large subunit ribosomal RNA (bases 385-505)
Source: RNAcentral
UUUUUGAAAAUAAUUUAAAGUCUAAUCUGCCCACUGAUUAUAUAUUAAAGGGCUGCAGUAUUUUGACUGUACAAAGGUAGCAUAAUCAUUAGUCUCUUAAUUGGUGACUUGUAUGAAAGAUUGGAUGAAAUAUAUACUGUCUCUAUUUAAUAAAUAAAAUUUAAUUUUUUAGUCAAAAAGCUAAAAUAAUUUUAAAAGACGAGAAGACCCUAUAGAGUUUUAUAAUUAGUUUAAUUAUUAUUAAUAUAUAAAAUUUAAUAUUAAAAUUAAAUAAAUUAUUUUAUUGGGGUGAUAAAAAAAUUAAAAUAACUUUUUUUUAUAAUUAACAUUAAUUUAUGAAUAAUUGAUCCAUUUAUAAUGAUUAAAAGAAAAAAUUACCUUAGGGAUAACAGCGUAAUUUUUUUUUUUAGUUCAAAUAGGAAAAAAAGUUUGCGACCUCGAUGUUGGAUUAAGAUAAAAUUUAAAUGUAAAGGUUUAAAAUUUUGAUCUGUUCGAUCAUUAAAAU